UCGGGGCUGAGCGAGCCCGAGGCGGGGCGCGCAGCGCGGCAGAGGGAGCAGGCAGGCGCUCGGGGCUGGUGCGGGCCCGAGCGGCGCGGCGGCCGGUGAGCGGAGCGCGGCGCACAGGCGAAGCUCUGGAGCGCAUGAAGGCUGUGCAGGGCGACGCAGGAGCGAGGCAGGUGUGCGCCGCGGGCGCGAGCUGGUGUGCGGGGCUGGGCAGAUGUGUGCACGGAGGGCCCAGGAGCAGAACGUCGCAGACGGCGCUGGCUCGGCCGGAGUGGCGCAAGCACGAGUGUGGAGCGCGUGCGGAAGCCGGCGGUGCAGGUGGAGCCGCGGAGCGGCUGCGGUUUGGGCAGAGGCUGGCGCAGCGCAGAGGCAGGGCACGCGCAGGCUCUGGUGGCGCAAGCGAGCGCGUGCACGCAGGCGAGUGAACGCUGGCGGCGUGCGGGUGUGACGCAAACUCGUGAGCGGCACGGCUGGCAGUACAGGAGCAAAUGUGAGCGACGCCGAUCGGGUGGCGCGAACAUGCGCGCGGUAACACAGCGGAAGCCGGUGGCGUGUGCAGGUGUUGAGCGGAGCGCGCGCGGAGGGCGCUGGAGGCGCGGUUGGCGCGCGCGCGAAUGGUUCAGCCGGGGUAGGAGUAGGCCCAAAUGGCGUGAACACACGUAUGCGAGCGUUGGAGUGACGCGGCAAGGUCGAGCGAACACGGGUUCGGCAGCUGGAAGCGGAGGAGCAGCUGCACAGCGUGCAGGGCGACGAUGUGCAGGAAGGUCGCGCGCGAUGCGAGAGGAGUUGUAAUGCGGCGGCUGCAGGCGGAACUGCCCAGGAAGCAGUGGAGUCGCGCGUAGAAGACGUCGAAAGCCGUUAAGGAGAAAGCAGUGGACGAGAUCAGGCGGCACUAUGAACUUUUCGUGGAGGGUUUGGAGGUGGUCAGGUGCGAGCAGACCAUGGCCCUCGCGGAGGCAGAGAGGGCGAGUGUGGCGCGGUGAGGCGCAAGCGAAGGUCCGGACGGAUUUGGACUAGCACGUCCGCGGAUACGAGCGAGAGUGCUCUACCGGUGACCGGCUCGACUCGAUUCAGCAAGCGCGUGUGAGACAACAGGCCAUCUUCCACGCACGGCAACUCUUCCCGGCAAACUUCUUCGUCAACCACGGAAUCUCUUUAUCGUCGAGCUUAUCUCUCUUCACCGAUCCUAUUCGCCACGGGACUUCACUUUCCGUCUGUUCUUCUCCACGACCAAGGUUUGCCCUGAGUCAUUGAAUCUUUCUAAUGCCGGCGAUUCUUUUGCUGGAAUAUCGCCGUUAACUUCCUGUUAUCUGUUUUCCCGGACCAAGGACUUGGUUGUUAUGUUUUAGAAAGUUCUAGGGUGUUCUUUGUAAAAUUUCUAAAACUUUCUGUAUUUCAAAUCGAUGAACUUCUACAUUUCAUAGAUUUCCGUAGGAAGUUCAUAAAAAUGUAAAAUCAGUUUUGUUUGAAAUCCUAAGUCAAACUCUACAAGUUUUAUGUUGUGAUCUUGAGUGAAAAUCUUUGAUGUGUGGUUUAGGUCAAAUGUUAGGGAAUGAAUGUUUUAUUGUGCUUUAUAUUGUAUGCUUGUGUUAUAACUGAAAAGUAAACCAUAAAAUAUAGAUCUUAAAUAGAAAUAUGUGAUGUUUCGUUAAACCUUCCAUAUGAGUGCUCAUAUCCUUGCCGUCAAGACGUUAUCCUUGUCUUGAUUGCCGUUUCCUUAAGUUUCUCUUCGUGUAAAGGUCUUUGUUAAUUCAUGUGCAUCUGUUGCUUAGCUUAUACAUCUCUGCAGCUGCGUUUCAACAUCAGCUUUUGGUUCAGCCGCUAAGCAUCCGUUUCCUUGAGUCGAUGACGUCCCUGUGUAACAGCUAUCAGUUGAUGCUUCUACCGUCGGCCAGUUAGCUGAUACGGUUGUUACCUUUCUAGUGUCGACUACUGUCGAUACAGUUCUUUUGUUCUGUUCUACAUCGACUGUAUAUAGUCGAUGUAUCGGAGAUGCACACAUGAUCUUAGGAUUCUUGUCAUCGGCCGACCCAAGCCGAUUUUGGUUGCUUUUCCAUGUCGAUCAAACACGGCCGAUCAAUCCUUAGUUUCCCCAUCCAUAUCCACACACUUCUAUCAGUCGAUCUAUCAACUGAGAGGUCGACUUUAUACUUAUCGGUCAUAUACCCUUAACCGCACUCCAAUCGGCUAUGCGUCGCUCAAUUGUUGUGCUGACGUAAUCGAGCCGAUGCAACCACACUUAGUUACCUAGAAUAACCCUUAAGCACAUCUCAGUUAGGACACGACUGCUUUAGGAAUCAUCCCUCUGCUGAAGUAAUUAAUGUUUUCAUCAAUCGUCUAGAAACCCGAUGUAUCUUUCCAUCAGCUAAACCCCCGUUGUUUCCAAUCGGCUCUGCUGUGAUCUUCAACGAGCAGCCGAUUCUAGUUAGUUGUCCCCCUAAAGCUCUAUCUAGGUUUGGUUCAGAUCUUUUUGGUUGUUAUGUGAAUAGUGUGUUAUAUGAGUGCUGGAUUACAACUUUGCUGCGAAAUAAAAUAGUUUUGUAUGCACGCUUUGAAUGUGAUGUCGCAUUGCAUGUAGAUACGACUACUUCGGCAACGGUACCUACAAGAUCUCCCCAAAGUCUACGGAGGAUGUUCCUGAAGAUCAAGUAAAUGUCGCCAAUGGAAUAUCGGAAGCCCUGAACCAAAGUUCGGAAGAUACUGACAUUUCUGACUUCAGACCCACCAGUAAAGGCAAGCCCCGGACAUAACCCACUAUUUUAAUUAUACUGCAAUCUAUAUCUAUUUAUGUAUUCUAUGCAUUAAGUUCUUAGGAAUUGCUUGAAACACUAGUUGCAUUUCCCUAGGAACCAAUGUGAUGAAUACUAGUACUUGAGUCCGACUAGCUGCUAUGCUAAUAGGGCCGGUAGAAGUCGGGUGAUUUCCUGUCACUCGCGCGAUAUAGGAGUUGUAAUGAUUACAUUCCUGUUAUCACUAUAAGGAUGCCGGACGGGAGUUUUGUGCGGUAUCAUGGUUGAGAUGAUACCCCGUCUGUGUUGAUGAAUCUGAUAAGGUCGCAGUGUGUGGAAGUGCGGGUUAAGUGUUUGAAAGUACUAGCCACAUACCGUGAGUUAUGGGUAAGCGGUAAGCCUAGUAGCCAAUCGGCCCGAGGAGUGGACAUACCUCCCACCACAUGUAUUUGGUUCUUUUGGUUACUUGGUUCGACUGGGGAAAUACGUGUUGCAAGGGCAACCAGGAAUACGGGUUUUGUAGUCGCGCUACAGACGUAUGUCCUGCACACAUUGGGUGUGCGUAUGUUCCUGCAGUCGCUUGUGGUGGAUCUGAUCCACGAGUCGGAAUGAAAGGCAAACGGUUGCUUUGGAAUGACCCUGUGGUGUUCCAAGCGUGUGUGUUAGGUUUACCUUGCAAGGUUAAAUUCGAUUCGAAUCGUCCGCUUCUCACGAAGAUUGAGACUGCUUGAUCCCUUUUCCACAUAGAGUAACAAGAACAAUAUUAUGGUUAUCAAAGAUGAUGUUUGACCAAAGAUUAUACCAUGCUUGCUUAGUUAUAGGUGCCUACCUAGUAUGGAUAAUUAACUAGAAUCUAGAAGCUAAAACUUGAAGUUAAGGAUCUACUCUUUGUUGCUUUUCAGCUGAAACUAAACCCAGAACCAUUAUAAGCUUUCAUAAGUCUAGUUAUGGGCUAAGAUAUACCCAAUCCCGGGUAAGCCUUGCUGAGUAUUAGUAUACUCAGCCUUGCUAGCUUUAUGUUUUUCAGGUAAAGCCUUUGAAGACCCUACUCUUUCCUUGUCAUGGCCCCGUGCUUUUCCAGAAGGUUGGUCCGAGGAAUGGGAUCCGUCCCCGACCAAUACUGAUGAUCUCGAGUGAUGUCGUGUCUGGGCUUAGCAUGACAUCCACCUUGACGACGUGUUGUAAUUCUUCGCGUAUAUUUUCCGCUGCUUUUAACCCUAGCUUUACAGUUUGUAAUCUUUUCUCUAAAUUUGAAACUUCAUACUUCUUUUUGGAAACUCUUGUAAUGUAAUUCUCUAUGAUGUAAAAUAUGAUGGUGAUUGUAUCUCUGGACUCACCUUCGUGUGAGGUAA
Molecule: long non-coding RNA, 4078 nt
Filed under: Panicum hallii
Lineage: Eukaryota; Viridiplantae; Streptophyta; Magnoliopsida; Poales; Poaceae
Description: long non-coding RNA (PHAL_LNC000878)
Source: RNAcentral